GACGAACGCUGGCGGCGUGCUUAACACAUGCAAGUCGAACGGUAAGGCCCUGCUUUUGUUGGGUGCUCGAGUGGCGAACGGGUGAGUAACACGUGAGUAACCUGCCCUUUACUUUGGGAUAACUUCAGGAAACUGGGGCUAAUACCGGAUAUUAGCUCCUGCUGCAUGGUGGGGUUUGGAAAGGUUCGGCGGUUGGGGAUGGACUCGCGGCUUCUUAGCUUGUUGUUGGGGUAGUGGCUUACCAAGGCUUUGACGGGUAGCCGGCCUGAGAGGGUGACCGGCCACAUUGGGACUGAGAUACGGCCGAGACUCAUAAGGGAGGAAGAAGUGGGGAAUAUUGAAGAAUGGGGGGAAGACGGAGGCAGCAACGCGGAGUGCGGGAUGAUGGCAUUCGGGUUGGAAAACGCUUUCGCCGGUGAAGAAGUGGGAGUGACGGUAAUGGGUAAAGAAGCACCGGCUAACUACGUG
RNAcentral lists this ribosomal RNA (468 nucleotides) under uncultured bacterium. Its description in RNAcentral is "partial 16S ribosomal RNA". It matches the Rfam family "Bacterial small subunit ribosomal RNA", at positions 28 to 507 of the family's 1533-position model. The record is from RNAcentral.